CCGAGCUGCGUGGGCUCGUAACCAGGGCGACGGGGGCGGGGCGCUGGCCCUACGCCGCAGGGUGCUCACCUGGAUUGCGCGUCCACUUGGCGAGUUCAGCGUCAGGUCCCAGAGGAUCCCCAGCAAAAACUUCUGUAUAUCCUGGCUCUUCCCUGACCACUUUGGAGCAGGUCCUCAGACCCAUGUGAGAGGCUGCCUCCCAGGCUAUAGUCCUCACACGCGGGCCUCUCACUGCUGUGGCCCCUCCCACUGCGGAGCACAGUUCCCUGAUGUGCAGGCCCAGCGGCCAUGGCUCACAGGCCCAGCCGCUCCGCGAUGUGUGGGAUCCUUCCGGACCACGGCACGAACCCGUGUCCCCUGCAUUGGCAGGCGGACUCUGAACCACUGCACCACCAGGGAAGCCCUCCAGCUUUCUUUUGAUUUCUAUUUGCAUGGAAUAUCUUUUUCCAUCCUGUCACUUUCAAUCUGUAUGUGUCCCUAGGUCUGAAGUGUGUCUCUUGUAGACAGUAUAUAUAUGGGUUUUGUGUUUGUAUCCAUUCUGAGAGCCUGUGUCUUUUGGUUGGAGCAUUUAAUCCAUUCAUGUUUAAGGUAAUUAUUGAUAUGUAUGUUCCUAUUACCAUUUUCUUAAUUGUUAUGGGUUUGUUUUUGUAGGUCCUUUCUUCUCUUGUGUUUCCUGCCUAGAGAAGUUACUUUAGCAUUUGUUGUAGAGCUGGUUUGUUGGUGCUUAACUCUCUUAGCUUUUGCUUGUCUGUAAAGCUUUUGAUUUCUCCGUCGAGUCUGAAUGAGAUCCUUGCUGGGUAGAGUAAUCUUGAAUGUAGGUUCUUCCCUUUCAUCACUUUAAAUAUAUCUUGCCACUCUCUUCUGGCUUGCAGAAUUUCUGCUGAGAAAUCAGCUGUUAACCUUGUGGGAGUUCCCUUGUACAUUAUUUGUCAUUUUUCCCUUGUUGCUUUCAAUAAUUUUUCUUUGUCUUUAAUUUUUGUCAGUUUGAUUACUAUGUGUCUUGUGUUUCUCCUUGGAUUUAUCCUGCCUGAGACUCUCUGUGCUUCCUGGAUUUGGGUGGCUAUUUCCUCUCCCAUGUUAGGGAAGUUUUUGACUGUAAUCUCUUCAAAUAUUUUCUCGGGCCCUUUCUUUCUCUCUUCUCCUUCUGGGACCCCUAUAAUGCAAAUGUUGUUACAUUUAAUGUUGUCCCAGAGAUCUCUUAGGCUAUCUUGAUUUCUUUUCAAUCUUUUUUCUUUAUUCUGUCCCAUGGCAGUGAAUUCCACCAUUCUGUCUUCCAGGUCGCUUAUCCGUUCUUCUGCCUCAGUUAUUCUGCUAUUGAUUCCUUCCAGUGUAGUUUUCAUUUCAGUAAUUGUAUUGUUAAUCUCCGUUUGUUCUUUAAUUCUUCUAGGUCUUUUUUAUACAUUUCUUGCAUCUUCUAGAUCUUUGCCUCCAUUCUUUUCUGAGGUCCUGCAUCAUCUUCACUAUAAUUAUUCUGAACUCUUUUUCUGGAAGGUUGUCUAUCUCCACUUCCUUUAGUUGUUUUUCUGGGGUUUUACUUGUUCCUUCCUCUAGUACAUAGUCCUCUGUCUUUUCAUUUUGUCUAUCUUUCUGUGAAUGUGGUUUUUGUUCCACAGGCUGCAGGAUUGUAGUUCUUGCUUCUGCUGUCUGCCCUCUUGUGGAUAAGGCUAUGUAAGAGGCCUGUGCAAAUUUCCUGAUGGGAGGGACUGGUGGUAGGUAGAGCUGGCUGUUGCUCUGGUGGGCAGAGCUCAGUAAAACUUUAAUCUGCUUGUCGGCUGUUGGGUGGGGCUGGGUUCCCUCCCUGUUGGUUGUUUGGCCUGAGGCAACCCAACACUGCAGCCUACCUGGCUCUUUGGUGGGGCUAAUGGUGACUCUGGGAGGGCUCAUGCCAAGGAGUACUUCCCAUAAUUUCUCCUGCCAGUGUCCUUGUCCUCAUGGUGAGCCACAGCCACCACCCCCCGCCUCUGCAUGAGACCCUCCAACACUAGCAGGUACGUCUGGUUCAGUCUCCUGCGGGGUCAGUGCUCCUUCCCCAGGUCCCGAUGUGCACACUACUUUGUGUGUGCCCUCCAAGAGUGGAGUCUCUGUUUCCCCCAGUCCUGUCAAAGUCCUGCAAUCAAAUGCCACUAGCCUUCAAAGUCUGAUUCUCUAGGAAUUCCUCCUCCCGUUGCCGGACCCACAGGUUGGGAAGCCUGACGUGGGGCUCAGAACCUUCAGUCCUGUGGGUGAACUUCUGUGGUAUAAUUGUUCUCCAGUUUGUGAGUCACCCACCCAGCAGUUAUGGGAUUUGAUUUUAUUGUGAUUGCACCCCUCCUACCAUCUCAUUGUGGCUUCUCCCUUGUCUUUGGUUGUGGGGUAUCUUUUUUGGUGAGUUCCAGUGUCUUCCUGUAGAUGAUUGUUCAACAGUUAGUUGUGAGUCCGGUGCUCUCGCAAGAGGGAGUGAGAGCACAUCCUUCUACUCCGCCAUCUUGAACCCUUCGUUGUUUUUUAUUUUUUAAUGGUGUUUGGUAACCUGCAAUCCAUCUGAAAUUCAGUUGUUUUUGCUAUUAUUUCCCAAGUGUUUGUCUGGUCCCUGAAAAUUAAAAUGGUCUGUUUCUUACACUCAGGGUGAUAUUCCUUCAUACUGUAUCCCAGCUCAGCUGGCUGUCCAGAGUUCUGUCCUGGGCUCUGCUCAGCCUGUUGGUUAGAAUUAGUUGGGAUGGGCUGCAACUCAGUGCAAAGGAAAACCACAUCUAUGUCCUGGGAGAGACCAGCCCAAACCAUGCAUUUGGUCCCGAGGGUUGGCAAAUCCUCUUGGGGCUCCAGUCAGAAUCAAUAGUGUGAGUAGGUUUGUAGGUGGCAGCUCCGAGCAUGGUCCCCUGCCGCUGUGGGCAUAGAUGCCAAGCCACUGAGGUGGCCCCGAGCGGCAGAGCACAAACCCACGCUCCUCCCCUCAGUGUGUUUCCUUCUCUGCUGAGGCAACGCUUUCUGGGACCAGAUGGGCUGUGAGGUUACAUAAAAGCACCUGGUGGAGGUGCCACCCACCACGAGUCAGAAAGUGUAGAUGUGGCGAUUCCACUGACUAGUCUUAACACUUUCUAAUUUUUCUGAUUUUGUUCCCUGGAAAAUGGGAAAAAAUAUAAUCAUUUUAAAGGGUUAUUGUAAGAAUUAAGUGGUAUUAUGUAUUCUUGAUAAACACAAAUCUACAUGUUAAUAUCUAUGAAAGUACUAUUUGCAAAUCAUGGUGCUAAAUUCUAUAGGAAUUACAGAAGAGAUUAAGACAGUUGAAAUAAGACACAUACAAUACAGUUUAUCACAGUUUGAUGGGUGGAUUCUUAAAAAUUUUGAAACAAUUGUGACUUUUGAUAUAUUAUUUCAUGUGUUUCUUGAAAUGUUUAUGCUUUCAAAACACGGCGGAAGGAGGCACAGUAACUUCCUUUCAUCCACUGGGGACACGUACACCCAUCAUUUCCACGUGCCAGCAGUGCUAGGCACUGGGUACUUUAAAAUUAUAAAACUUGCAAAGCAAAUCAUGGUAGCUUUGAAACAUUUAGCUAUUUUUUUAUAUGAAGCUCACUGCUGUAUCUUGGAAAACGUAAAAUAAGUAAGUAAAACCAAUUUGUAAAUUAGAGAAGAAUGUGCUUUAAAAUAUUCAACGCAUUUUAUUUUUGUUUUUCUCCAAACAUCGCAGGCUUCUCAAGUCUUUCAAAGUCUCUGAUUUAUUACUACAGAGAAUGUGUGUCCUGGGGAGAUAGGGGGGUGCACAAGGCCUGACUGGGUCUGGUGUCUGGCCUUACAGGUGCUAAAAUAAGGCCUUCUAUCCACCUCCUAUUGGAAGUGCUUCCUGCCUUCUUUGGGGUUAUUUCCAACAGAGUUUCUUAGGUAACAUGUUUUUGUUUGUCUGCUUUGUCUUGUUAAAUCGUGACCCCUGCACCUGCAGGCUGGGAGGUGAUUACAGCCCCACCCAUCGACCCAGGUGUAUGCUGGGGGGUCACCCUCCAUGAAGUGGCCUGGGGAGUCUAGAUCCAUACAUUCCUUGUCGUGCGGGUGGGUGCUGCAUGGGAGCCCCAGCCUGAGGCCCCUCGGCCGGUCCCCGCUGACGGUGAACUUCCCACCGCCGAGGUCCUGCGCUCCCGCUGUCUCAAAUUGUGUGCCGUUUCUUUUCACAGUUGGAAUGAAAUCAGGUAGUCCAUUAUUUAGGGCUCUCUGGUUGGAGAUAACAGAAUAGCCUAGACGAAGGGAAACCCCACCAGAUCCAAGACAGAAGGAGUAGAACCACAUGCUGGGACCCAGCGGCCCAGACCCAGUCCUGCUCUUCUCUACACAGCGCCCCCUCUGCGCCACACCCCCCAUGGCAGCGUCCCGCUCGCCCUCGGCUUCCGCGUUCUUUGCCUCUGUGCUAAUGGGAUUCUGGCCCCCGAAAGAGAGGAUCACUGCAAUGUUAGCAG
Molecule: RNA transcript, 4424 nt
Organism: Mesoplodon densirostris (Blainville's beaked whale)
Lineage: Eukaryota; Metazoa; Chordata; Mammalia; Artiodactyla; Ziphiidae
Gene: WDR27
Gene name: WD repeat domain 27
Exons: 3
Source: RefSeq, a predicted model, not a curated record